This 253-nucleotide ribosomal RNA is filed under the name uncultured bacterium. Its description in RNAcentral is "partial 16S ribosomal RNA". It matches the Rfam family "Bacterial small subunit ribosomal RNA", at positions 524 to 776 of the family's 1533-position model. The record is from RNAcentral.
GACAGAGGGUGCAAACGUUGUUCGGAAUUACUGGGCGUAAAGCGCGUGUAGGCGGCCCGACAAGUCGGAUGUGAAAGCCCCGGGCUCAACCCGGGAAGUGCAUUCGAUACUGUCAGGCUGGAGUCCCGGAGAGGAUGGUGGAACUCUCGGUGUAGAGGUGAAAUUCGUAGAUAUCGAGAAGAACACCGGCGGCGAAGGCGGCCAUCUGGACGGUGACUGACGCUGAGACGCGAAAGCGUGGGGAGCAAACAGG